UACGUAGGUGGCAAGCGUUGUCCGGAUUUACUGGGCGUAAAGAGCGCGCAGGCGGUCGAUCAAGUCGCGUGUGAAAGCCCCCGGCUCAACUGGGGAGGGUCACGCGAUACUGAUCGACUCGAAGGCAGGAGAGGGUAGUGGAAUUCCCGGUGUAGUGGUGAAAUGCGUAGAUAUAGGAAGGAACACCAGUGGCGAAGGCGACCACCUGGACUGAUACUGACACUGAGGUGCGAAAGCGUGGGGAGCAAACAGG
Molecule: ribosomal RNA, 253 nt
Filed under: uncultured bacterium
Lineage: Bacteria
Description: partial 16S ribosomal RNA
Rfam family: Bacterial small subunit ribosomal RNA
Source: RNAcentral